CUUUUUUCUUUGCUUUUCUUGAAUGACAAUCCAAUGCUUCUUUCCAUUAUUAAAUAUGGAGCUAUAUGAUGAAUAUGAAUGAACCAAUAAACUAAUUUCCUAUAGGGGCCAUUCACAUGAUGAAAGAAUUAGAAGGAAUGUAGAAGAGACAUGCUUCAAGAUGAGCUCCGAAAACUGCUCGAUGAAUUUGUAGCAGGUGGUUCUGUUUUGCUCGACCAGAAGACCUUCAGUCUGCAUUAACACACAGCUAUUAAAAGCUUUAACUGAUGUAAGGUAACUUUGAGGCUCUACAUGCGAAUCCGACUACACCAAUAAAUAUGCCAUGCAUGAUUCCAACUUGUUGGCAUAGUUCUGUUAGCCAAGUUGUGUUCAAGUCAGGUCCUACCGACUUGUUUGUUCAAGGCCUAAGAUUUGACGAAAAGGCAUAGUCAACUCAACGGAUGACAGGAUGCAGGUGAAUAAUACUGCACCAUCGCUUGUUUGUUCCAAGGGAAGGAGGAGGCUAGUUUAGUAAAAAGAUGGUUACAAGUAAAGAGAGAUCAUUGAAGACAAUGUAGCACAUUAAAGAUAAAAGGCAUGAAUGAAUCAACAAUAGCUAUCUAUGUUGCUAGGACUCGAGGGAAUUUGGUAUUGGGGGUCAAAAGAAAAUUAUACUAAGGGCCAAGGCCCUGGCCUACCCUUGGCUAUGCCCUGCUAAGACUCUUUCAUUUUGCUUCGACUACUCAUAUUUGACACUGAAUGGACUCACAUUUCACUUGGUAAAAACAUAGGUGGCAAUGCAAACACCUUGUAAUAUAUCAAGGAUUCCGUCAAAUUAAUAAAAAGAAUUCAAAACUUGUCUGGA
This is a long non-coding RNA of Gossypium arboreum, 844 nucleotides long. RefSeq lists it as uncharacterized. The record is from RefSeq and is a predicted model, not a curated record. The transcript has 2 exons. Lineage: Eukaryota; Viridiplantae; Streptophyta; Magnoliopsida; Malvales; Malvaceae.